RNAcentral lists this ribosomal RNA (467 nucleotides) under uncultured bacterium. RNAcentral describes it as "bacterial SSU rRNA". It matches the Rfam family "Bacterial small subunit ribosomal RNA", at positions 29 to 506 of the family's 1533-position model. The record is from RNAcentral.
AUGAAUGCUGGCGGCGUGUCUAAGGCAUGCAAGUCGAACGGGUGCAACAUCGUAGCAAUACGUUGAGGCACUAGUGGCAAACGGGAGCGUAACACAUUGGUAACCUACCCCAGACUCGUGGAUAACGAUUGGAAACGAUCGCUAAUACACGAUAUUGAUGAGGGGACGCAAGUCAUUCUCAUUGAAAGUUUUUCGGUCUGGGAGGGGCCUAUGGUCCAUCAGCUUGUUGGCGGGGUAACGGCCCACCAAGGCAAUGACGGAUACCAGGCGCGAGAGCGUGACCUGGCUCAUUGGAACUGAGACACUGUCCAAACACCUACGGGUGGCUGCAGUCGAGAAUAUUCCACAAUGCACGAAAGUGUGAUGGAGCGACGCCGCGUGUUGAACGAAGGCCUUCGGGUCGUAAACAACUUUUCUCAGGGACGAAUUUUGACGGUACCUGAGGAAUAAGGGGUUGCUAACUCUGU